Molecule: transfer RNA, 100 nt
Filed under: Candidatus Agathobaculum pullicola
Lineage: Bacteria; Bacillati; Bacillota; Clostridia; Eubacteriales; Butyricicoccaceae
Description: tRNA-Thr
Source: RNAcentral
GGAAGAAUGGCGAAAGCAGACGCGGGCUGCAUAGUGUGGCCUGCCGUCCCCGGCGCGGAAACGGGGCGGCGUGCAGGUGCGAAUCCUGCUUCUUCCACCA